RNAcentral lists this ribosomal RNA (164 nucleotides) under Bosmina cf. longirostris WM-2017a. Its description in RNAcentral is "partial 16S ribosomal RNA". The record is from RNAcentral. Lineage: Eukaryota; Metazoa; Arthropoda; Branchiopoda; Diplostraca; Bosminidae.
UAUGGAGCUUAAUUUUAAGAUAAAAGCAAAUUUAUUUUUAAAAGUUACUUAUUUUAAAAAAUUUUGUUGGGGCGACAGAGAGAUGAAAAAACCACUCUUUUUAUUAAACUUAUAUUAAAGGAGAAUUGAUCCCUAAAGAAGGAUUAAAAGACUAAGUUACCCUA